GUCUGGGAUACCACUUGGAAACAGGUGCUAAUACCGGAUAACAACAAUAGCUGCAUGGCUAUUGCUUAAAAGGCGGCGAAAGCUGUCGCUAAAGGAUGGACCCGCGGUGCAUUAGCUAGUUGGUAAGGUAAUGGCUUACCAAGGCGACGAUGCAUAGCCGAGUUGAGAGACUGAUCGGCCACAUUGGGACUGAGACACGGCCCAAACUCCUACGGGAGGCAGCAGUAGGGAAUCUUCCACAAUGGGCGAAAGCCUGAUGGAGCAACGCCGCGUGAGUGAAGAAGGUUUUCGGAUCGUAAAGCUCUGUUGUUGGUGAAGAAGGAUAGAGGUAGUAACUGGCCCCUAUUUGACGGUAAUCAACCAGAAAGUCACGGCUAACUACGUGCCAGCAGCCGCGGUAAUACGUAGGUGGCAAGCGUUGUCCGGAUUUAUUGGGCGUAAAGCGAGCGCAGGCGGAAAGAUAAGUCUGAUGUGAAAGCCCCCGGCUUAACCGAGGAAUUGCAUCGGAAACUGUGUUUCUUGAGUGCAGAAGAGGAGAGUGGAACUCCAUGUGUAGCGGUGGAAUGCGUAGAUAUAUGGAAGAACACCAGUGGCGAAGGCGGCUCUCUGGUCUGUAACUGACGCUGAGGCUCGAAAGCAUGGGUAGCGAACAGGAUUAGAUACCCUGGUAGUCCAUGCCGUAAACGAUGAGUGCUAAGUGUUGGGAGGUUUCCGCCUCUCAGUGCUGCAG
Molecule: ribosomal RNA, 730 nt
Filed under: uncultured bacterium
Lineage: Bacteria
Description: bacterial SSU rRNA
Rfam family: Bacterial small subunit ribosomal RNA
Source: RNAcentral